UGCUCAGUAGCUCAGUCGGCAGAGCAAGUGGCUGUUAACCACUGGGUCCGCGGUUCGAGUCCGUGCUGAGCAG
Molecule: transfer RNA, 73 nt
Filed under: Chitinivibrionales bacterium
Lineage: Bacteria; Pseudomonadati; Fibrobacterota; Chitinivibrionia; Chitinivibrionales
Description: tRNA-Asn
Rfam family: tRNA
About the family: Transfer RNA (tRNA) molecules are approximately 80 nucleotides in length. Their secondary structure includes four short double-helical elements and three loops (D, anti-codon, and T loops).
Source: RNAcentral